RNAcentral lists this ribosomal RNA (351 nucleotides) under Triticum aestivum (bread wheat). RNAcentral describes it as "partial small subunit ribosomal RNA". The record is from RNAcentral. Lineage: Eukaryota; Viridiplantae; Streptophyta; Magnoliopsida; Poales; Poaceae.
AUGGGAGCUGGGGGCUCUGUGGAUUACAGACUACUCAACUCUAUUACAAUCAAGAAUAAGUUUCCUAUGCUAGUGAUAGAGGACUUGCUAGAUGAACUACACGGGGCUACAAUUUUCAGUAAAUUAGACCUCAGGUCUGGAUACCACCAAAUCAGAAUGGCAAGUGCUGACAUACCAAAAACAACAUUCAAAACUCACAUGGUUCACUAUGAAUACAUGGUUAUGCCCUUUGGGCUAACUAAUGCUCCAGCAACUUAUCAAAGUUUCAUGAACACCGUUUUUGCACCUUAUCUCAGGAAAUUCAUCUUGGUCUUUUUUUUAAUGAUAUUUUGGUCUACAGCAGGACAUUAG